UACGGGGGGGGCAAGCGUUGUUCGGAAUUACUGGGCGUAAAGGGCUCGCAGGUGGCCAACUAAGUCAUACGUGAAAUCCCUCGGCUUAACCGGGGAACUGCGUCUGAUACUGGAUGGCUUGAGAUUGGGAGAGGGAUGCGGAAUUCCAGGUGUAGCGGUGAAAUGCGUAGAUAUCAGGAGGAACACCGGUGGCGAAGGCGGCUUGCUGGGCCAGUUCUGACGCUGAGGAGCGAAAGCGUGGGGAGCGAACAGG
RNAcentral lists this ribosomal RNA (253 nucleotides) under uncultured bacterium. RNAcentral's name for it is "partial 16S ribosomal RNA". It matches the Rfam family "Bacterial small subunit ribosomal RNA", at positions 524 to 776 of the family's 1533-position model. The record is from RNAcentral.